This 550-nucleotide long non-coding RNA is filed under the name Pongo abelii (Sumatran orangutan). Its description in RNAcentral is "lincRNA". The record is from RNAcentral. Lineage: Eukaryota; Metazoa; Chordata; Mammalia; Primates; Hominidae.
UAAGAAAACUGAGGCACAGAAAAGUCACACAAGAUUAUCGAGGUCAACACAGAGAACAGUGGAACCGGCACCUGACCCCAGGCAGGCGGGACCUUCAUGACCACACCACACCGCCACAGGGAACAGGCAGGGAAAACAAUGGGUCUAGCAGGACAAAAAUGACAUUUCCCAGAGUUUCUUGCUGUUUGGAUCUGGCUGCAGUUUCAGUUUUGCCAAGAAGAGGCAUUUCCAUGAGCUCUGGACAGUGGCAGAGAGGCAGAGGUGCUCCACUGCAGUGUGCUGGACGGUCCGCGGGCUCCUGCCAACGUGAGGAUUUGCAGCAACUGGUAUAUCCAUGGUCUUGUCACCAGCUUCCUGAAUGCGGGGCAGCUGGAGCCACACUAGUGGUCCUUCCUUGCAGGGGCAGCAGCUGUCUCCUGGUCUCAGAAUCACAGCUGUGGGGAUGUGACCUUAAACCAAAAGUCUAGCGGUGGUCCUAACCUUCUCUUGUCUAGGCCCUCUGAUCCCUCUGUAAGUCGCUAUUUCCCUUAUUAAAUCUCUUUCUGCUGGA